GUGAACGCUGGCGGUAGGCCUAACACAUGCAAGUCGAACGGCAGCACAGAGGAGCUUGCUCCUUGGGUGGCGAGUGGCGGACGGGUGAGGAAUACAUCGGAAUCUACUCUGUCGUGGGGGAUAACGUAGGGAAACUUACGCUAAUACCGCAUACGACCUACGGGUGAAAGCAGGGGAUCUUCGGACCUUGCGCGAUUGAAUGAGCCGAUGUCGGACUAGCUAGUUGGCGGGGUAAAGGCCCACCAAGGCGACGAUCCGUAGCUG
This 264-nucleotide ribosomal RNA is filed under the name uncultured bacterium. RNAcentral describes it as "partial 16S ribosomal RNA". It matches the Rfam family "Bacterial small subunit ribosomal RNA", at positions 29 to 289 of the family's 1533-position model. The record is from RNAcentral.